RNAcentral lists this ribosomal RNA (481 nucleotides) under uncultured bacterium. RNAcentral describes it as "bacterial SSU rRNA". It matches the Rfam family "Bacterial small subunit ribosomal RNA", at positions 30 to 504 of the family's 1533-position model. The record is from RNAcentral.
UGAACGCUAGCGGCAGGCUUAACACAUGCAAGUCGAACGGUAACAGAAAAAGCUUGCUUUUUGCUGACGAGUGGCGAACGGGUGCGUAACGCGUAUGCAACCUACCUUUAACAGAGGGAUAGCCCAGAGAAAUUUGGAUUAAUACCUCAUAAUAUUACGAGAUCUCAUGGUCAUGUAAUUAAAGCUUCGGCGGUUAAAGAUGGGCAUGCGUGACAUUAGCUAGAUGGUAAGGUAACGGCUUACCAUGGCAACGAUGUCUAGGGGGUCUUAAAGGAUGAUCCCCCACACUGGUACUGAGACACGGACCAGACUCCUACGGGAGGCAGCAGUGAGGAAUAUUGGUCAAUGGACGAAAGUCUGAACCAGCCAUGCCGCGUGAAGGAUGACGGCCCUAUGGGUUGUAAACUUCUUUUAUAUGGGAAGAAACCCUCUUACGUGUAAGAGGCUGACGGUACCAUACGAAUAAGCACCGGCUAACUCC